AGCGAACGCUAGCGGCGGGCCUAACACAUGCAAGUCGAGCGCCCUUCGGGGAGCGGCGAACGGGUGAGUAACACGUAGGUAAUCUGCCCUUUGGUGGGGAAUAGCCCGGGGAAACCCGGAUUAAUACCGCAUAUGGUCUUCGGAUCAAAGCCUUCGGGCGCCAAAGGAUGAGCCUGCGGCCCAUUACCUAGUAGGUGGGGUAACGGCCUACCUAGGGAACGAUGGGUAGCUGGUCUGAGAGGAUGAUCAGCCACACUGGAACUGAGACACGGUCCAGACUUCUACGGGAGGCAGCAGUGGGGAAUAUUGCGCAAUGGGCGAAAGCCUGACGCAGCCACGCCGCGUGUGUGAUGAAGGCUUUCGGGUCGUAAAGCACUGUCGGGAGGGAAGAAGAUCUGACGGUACCUCCCAAGAAAGCACCGGCUAACUCCGUGCCAGCAGCCGCGGUAAUACGGAGGGUGCGAGCGUUGCUCGGAAUCACUGGGCGUAAAGCGUACGUAGGCGGAUUGUUAAGUCGGGUGUGAAAGCCCAGGGCUCAACCCUGGAAUUGCGCUCGAUACUGGCAGUCUUGAGUACGGGAGAGGGAUAGCGGAAUGUCUGGUGUAGAGGCGAAAUUCGUAGAUAUCAGACGGAACACCAGUGGCGAAAGCGGCUUCCUGGCCCGAUACUGACGCUGAGGUACGAAAGUGUGGGGAGCAAACAGGAUUAGAUACCCUGGUAGUCCACACCGUANACGAUGAGUGCUAGCUGCUGGGAAUGUUUACCGUCUCAGUGGCGAAGCUAACGCAUUAAGCACUCCGCCUGGGAAGUAC
Molecule: ribosomal RNA, 812 nt
Filed under: uncultured Pseudomonadota bacterium
Lineage: Bacteria; Pseudomonadati; Pseudomonadota
Description: bacterial SSU rRNA
Rfam family: Bacterial small subunit ribosomal RNA
Source: RNAcentral